Sorex fumeus (smoky shrew) is the source of this 165-nucleotide small nuclear RNA. RefSeq annotates it as U1 spliceosomal RNA. The transcript has a single exon. The record is from RefSeq and is a predicted model, not a curated record. Lineage: Eukaryota; Metazoa; Chordata; Mammalia; Eulipotyphla; Soricidae.
AUACUUACUGGGCAGGGUAUAUAGCGUGAUCACAAAAGUGGUUUUCCCAGGGCGAGGCUUAUCUAUCCAUUGCACUCUGGAUGUGCUGACUUCUGUGAUUUUCCCAAAUGGGGGAAAUCUCGACUGCCUGAUUUGUGGUAGUAGGGGACUCCAUUUGCACUCUGA